Molecule: long non-coding RNA, 592 nt
Organism: Ooceraea biroi (clonal raider ant)
Lineage: Eukaryota; Metazoa; Arthropoda; Insecta; Hymenoptera; Formicidae
Source: RefSeq, a predicted model, not a curated record
GUCCGAAGUCCGAACACGUAGGACAACGAUGACGGUUCGCUUGGUUGGUAAAGUAAGUCGCGCACUGUCGACUUACCUGCGAUGGAUAAUAACGAAGUUUAUUGUCGCAUCUCCUAAUUUUUUAAGCAUCGUCGUUUAGCCCGUAUUUUGUUAUUCAGUAUUAAUAAUUGAUAACAAUGAUAACAAUUGAUUCUUUUCUUGUUCAACAUUUGGUAAGUAUAAACUUUAAUAUUAAGAAUAAGCUUUGCGAUUACCGACAGUAAAUGGAACAAUUAGGAUGAUGUUUGUCUAAUUGUUAUUAUAUAAUCAAUUUUUUAUUUCGAUAAUAUGAUAAAAAGGUUAUGUAAGAUUAAUAAACUAUAUCAUAUUCUUUAUCGUGAUAAAGUUCUCGAUUCGUUGGUAACAUAUAGGUAUUUAUCACAAUUCGUGCAUAUACGACUAUCUUCAUCGUAUAUUUACCUAAUAAAAGAAUUAAUUUCUCGUGGCCUCCAUCUUCGUCUAACACGAUUCAAUACGCAAUCAUUUCUAUUGGAGCAUUGUUAAAUACUUUUCGAAGUGAACUCAUCGCUUGAAAUGAAAUAACCAAACAAAA